UCUUGUCAAGUUUUUCAGAUAAUCUCGCAUCGUGUGGUUCAGAUCUAUUACGGAGAUACGGGUAGUUUUUCGAUUUAUUUUAUUUAUUUUUCUCGUGAAAAAAGUUCAAUGUGGAGCCGAAAGGCACAGAGAAAACUAGAGCAGAUUCAGCAUUACAAGUAUUUUUUUAAGAGAUUGUAUCUCCAGCUCAGCACGAGUUCGGAUCCUGAGUAUUACCACGGGCCACCGGUAGAAAUUGAGAGUACUAUAUUUCAAGGGAAAGCUUCACGAGAUAUUGAUCAACAAUCAGCACUACCAAUCAGCACUAAUAGAGAACACUUAGUAUUCCGGGAAAACAACGGGUUCCCACAAUGCAGGUGAAAUGAUGGUCGUCAAGACCAGCCCAGUUAGUGGACAAUUUGAUAAGAUCAUCUCUAAAGCUUAUUUAUUAGAAGUGCCAGAAAGCCACAAAUGCAUCAUGAUAAUUACAUAUGACUUCAACGUCAGAAACUCCGGUUCACAACAUACGGUAGAUAUGGAUCGUGUGUGUAGUCCAGUCUGGACAGUUCCCUUUUAUCUACAAUGCAAACUGGCCUGGACAACGUCAGAUAAAAGGCGAUCGCGUCGACUCCUACUUCAGUUUGCGAAACUUGUGCCAAAAUUACCUAAAUACGCGUUACACUCGCACGGAACACCAAGUUAUCGGUGACGGCGCAGUUUGUGCUUCUGCCACCCUCUCUGCCACCAAUCAAGCUGUAAGUUUUGCUGUUCAUUUUCAAGACUAUUAAAUUUUAAAGGACUACGUCGAGUUGCAUGUCGCUCUUUGAGCUCCUUUCUCCGAUCGAACAUCUUUCUAAUGUAUGUACAUAUAGCGUUUUCUCGGGAUAAUAA
Armigeres subalbatus is the source of this 870-nucleotide long non-coding RNA. RefSeq lists it as uncharacterized. The record is from RefSeq and is a predicted model, not a curated record. Lineage: Eukaryota; Metazoa; Arthropoda; Insecta; Diptera; Culicidae. The transcript has 3 exons.